ACUAUAUCUUGUGUUCAAGGUUCUUACGAUUCGUGAGGAUCAAAAGCGAAGAUGGGAAUACGGUGCGCGGUAUCCAUGAUGGAUGUUGUUAAGCCGUAGCUGCCCCCGCAACUGUAAGCGGCGAGCUCAAAUCCAGAUGUCACUGGCACAGGCCGGGAAGACGGAUGCGAGCGAUGAGCCGUGAGCCAGGAGACCUGCCUUGAACGAGAACGUCCA
Molecule: non-coding RNA, 216 nt
Filed under: Brucella pseudogrignonensis
Lineage: Bacteria; Pseudomonadati; Pseudomonadota; Alphaproteobacteria; Hyphomicrobiales; Brucellaceae
Source: RNAcentral